Molecule: ribosomal RNA, 497 nt
Filed under: uncultured bacterium
Lineage: Bacteria
Description: partial 16S ribosomal RNA
Rfam family: Bacterial small subunit ribosomal RNA
Source: RNAcentral
GAUGAACGCUGGCGGCGUGCCUAAUACAUGCAAGUCGAGCGAACAGACGAGGAGCUUGCUCCUCUGACGUUAGCGGCGGACGGGUGGGUAACACGUGGAUAACCUACCUAUAAGACUGGGAUAACUUCGGGAAACCGGAGCUAAUACCGGAUAAUAUAUUGAACCGCAUGGUUCAAUAGUGAAAGACGGUUUUGCUGUCACUUAUAGAUGGAUCCGCGCCGCAUUAGCUAGUUGGUAAGGUAACGGCUUACCAAGGCGACGAUGCGUAGCCGACCUGAGAGGGUGAUCGGCCACCCUGGAACGGAGACACGGUCCAGACUCCUACGGGAGGCAGCAGUAGGGAAUCUUCCGCAAUGGGCGAAAGCCUGACGGAGCAACGCCGCGUGAGUGAUGAAGGUCUUGGGAUCGUAAAACUCUGUUAUUAGGGAAGAACAAAUGUGUAAGUAACUAUGCACGUCUUGACGGUACCUAAUCAGAAAGCCACGGCUAACUACGUG